UACGUAGGGUGCAAGCGUUGUUCGGAAUUAUUGGGCGUAAAGAGCGUGUAGGUGGUUAGGUAAGUUGGGUGUGAAAUCCCUCGGCUCAACCGAGGAAGUGCAUCCAAAACUGCAUAGCUUGAGGGCGGCAGAGGGAGGUGGAAUUCCUAGUGUAGAGGUGAAAUUCGUAGAUAUUAGGAGGAAUACCGGUGGCGAAGGCGGCCUCCUGGACCGUUCCUGACACUGAGACGCGAAAGCGUGGGUAGCAAACAGG
This 253-nucleotide ribosomal RNA is filed under the name uncultured bacterium. RNAcentral describes it as "partial 16S ribosomal RNA". It matches the Rfam family "Bacterial small subunit ribosomal RNA", at positions 524 to 776 of the family's 1533-position model. The record is from RNAcentral.